CAGCCGCCGCGGGAAUACGGAGGGUGCAAGCGUUAAUCGGAAUUACUGGGCGUAAAGCGCACGCAGGCGGUCUGACAAGUCAGAUGUGAAAUCCCCGGGCUUAACCUGGGAACUGCAUUUGAAACUGUCAGGCUGGAGUCUUGUAGAGGGGGGUAGAAUUCCAGGUGUAGCGGUGAAAUGCGUAGAGAUCUGGAGGAAUACCGGUGGCGAAGGCGGCCCCCUGGACAAAGACUGACGCUCAGGUGCGAAAGCGUGGGGAGCAAACAGGAUUAGAUACCCCGGUAGUCCCUGUCUCUUAUAC
RNAcentral lists this ribosomal RNA (301 nucleotides) under uncultured bacterium. RNAcentral describes it as "partial 16S ribosomal RNA". It matches the Rfam family "Bacterial small subunit ribosomal RNA", at positions 509 to 807 of the family's 1533-position model. The record is from RNAcentral.